This 1416-nucleotide ribosomal RNA is filed under the name Triticum aestivum (bread wheat). RNAcentral's name for it is "partial small subunit ribosomal RNA". Lineage: Eukaryota; Viridiplantae; Streptophyta; Magnoliopsida; Poales; Poaceae. The record is from RNAcentral.
AUGAAGGGCACACGUGGAGGUGGAGUGCGAAGCAGAAAGGCACAGCACCAUUUCCUCGCCUCGCCUCGGUCGGGGCGCGUGUGCGUGUGCGUGUGCGUGGCGUCUCCUCCUCUCUCUUACUUCCUCCUCCCAUCCCCAUCUCUCCUCCUCCUCCUCAAUUCGGAGGAAGCGAGGGCUCGCGCCCGAUCGGGUUGGUGGCUCGCCGCGAUGGCGACCGACGCCGGCGCCGCCGACAGGAGCUCCGUCUUCCGCAAGCUCCGCGCCAAAUCCGACAAUAAGAUGUGCUUCGACUGCAACGCCAAGAACCCCACCUGGGCCUCCGUUACCUACGGCGUCUUCCUCUGCAUCGACUGCUCCGCCGUCCACCGCAGCCUCGGCGUCCACGUCUCCUUCGUCAGGUCAACAAAUUUGGAUUCAUGGACCCCAGAACAGUUGAAAAUGAUGGUUUAUGGGGGAAACAACCGUGCACAAGCUUUCUUUAAGCAGCAUGGUUGGACUGAUGGUGGAAAGAUCGAGGCAAAGUACACUUCAAGAGCUGCUGACUUAUACAGACAGUUGCUCCUCAAAGAGGUUUCUAAAAGUUCGACAGAAGAUGGCAAUAAUAGUGGGCCGCCCUCCCCAGUCGCAGCUUCUCAGACUUCAAGCCAAGCAGCUGCAUUUCCUGAUUUCAAACUGGUAGAGGUGCCGAAAGAAGUUGUGAAUGAGCCUGAGUCUGAAAUUAUUCGUUCACCUAAAGCUCCUACCCAUUCAUUCAAGAAGCCAAUCGGUGGAAAGAAGCCUGGAAGUAAGACUGGUGGACUUGGUGCGCGCAAGCUUACGACAAAGCCAAGUGAAAGCCUCUAUGAGCAGAAACCUGAAGAGCCAGCUCCUGCCCUGCCAUCGGUGGCUGAAAGCACUACAGCUAGGAGCAAAUCUCAUACUUCCCGAUUUGAAUAUGUGGAAAAUGUACCUUCUGCUGGGAGCAGCUCUGCGGAAAACCAGGCAUUUGGGCAUGUUGCGCCCCCAAAGUCUUCAAACUUUUUCGGUGAAUAUGGGAUGGACAGUGGAUAUCACAAGAAAUCUACUUCUGGUGCAUCCAAAAUGCAGGUUGAGGAAAGUAGUGAAGCAAGACAGAAGUUCUCAAAUGCAAAGUCUAUUUCAUCUUCUCAGUUUUUCGGUGAUCAAGCCAAUUUAGAAAAAGAGGGCCAAAUCUCCCUCCAAAAAUUCUCUGGGUCCUCUGCCAUUUCAAGUGCUGAUCUGUUUGGCCAACAAGCGAACAAUUCUAAUGCGGAUCUGAGUGCUUCGGAUUUGAUCAACAGAAUCUCCUUCCAGGCCACUCAGGACUUGACCUCUCUCAAGAGCAUGGCUGGGCAGACUGGGAAGAAGCUGACAUCUAUGGCGUCCAACAUCAUAUCUGAUCUUGAUCGGAUCCUCUGA